GAACACUGUAAGUGUUAACAUAUCUCUUUCAUUAUUAUGGAUUCUAACUUUCAUAAGCAAAGGAUUCCAGACAUUGCUCCCCAUAGAUUUAAACAUGUACUUAUGUUCAGACUGACUUGCUGCCUUAGUCUUAAAUUGAAAAGAAAUCAACUGGAUAAUACAAAUUUAAUCUGUAUCUGUGGAUGGAAAAACCCCUGGCUUUUGUGGGACUAUGAUAAUUCUUAGCAAAAGUGGUAACUGGUAUUUGUGUAAAGCUUUCUUCAGUUUGUUUAGUUUUGCAAAUCUCGAUGUUCUGAAUAAUAAGAUACUCAUUUUGAAAAUAAAUAAAAUAUACAUUUUCAAGUGAAUAUUGGAAGAAAACUUAAGGAACCAUUCUAAACUUUUUAUGCAGAUGUAUGAUACUGGGCUUUAAAAGACAUAUAAUAGCAUGGAAGCACUGGUUUUGAAAUAGGAUGUAAAUAAAACAUCCUCCUUUUUUCAUUGCUUUUGUAUUAUUUUGUACGCAGUAAUUCCAAUAGACAUUUUCUGGGCAACAGUUUGUCAGCAAUUAUUCUGUUGAGAAUGUAGAAAAGAAAACAGUAAUUAAAUACCUUCACUUAUCCUACUUUAUCCCUGACUCUAUAGCUAAACUUAAGCAUGGAUUGAAAAUAAACAUACCUUGGGAUAACUUAAUAUAGAGACGUAUUGGGUAUCCUUGCUCUUGAAGCAGUCCUGUACAUGGUUAUAGAUAUUAAAUGCCUUUAUGGAUAAUUUUUUAGCUAUUUCUCUUUUAUCUGUCUCUAAUAAAUGCCAUAGACUAUUUUGUUAAAUGAAAUAUUCCUUUCCUUGAAGAGUAGUCUGUGGUAGGAGUUCCCGUCGUGGCGCAGUGGUUAACGAAUCCGACUAGGAACAAUGAGGUGAGGGGUUUGAUCCUGGCCUUGCUCAGGUUAAGGAUCCGGCGUUGGCCUGAGCUGUGGUGUAGGUUGCAGACGCGGCUGGGAUCCUGCAUUGCUGUGGCUCUGGCAUAGGCCAGUGGCUACAGCUCUGAUUCGACCCCUAGCCUGGGAACCUCCAUAUGCCGAGAGAAGCUGCCCUAGAAAAGGCAAAAAGAUCCCCCC
RNAcentral lists this long non-coding RNA (1097 nucleotides) under Sus scrofa (pig). RNAcentral describes it as "lncRNA (ENSSSCG00000049404.1)". The record is from RNAcentral. Lineage: Eukaryota; Metazoa; Chordata; Mammalia; Artiodactyla; Suidae.